CUGCUUCAGAUUCCCAGUCAUAAUGUAUAGUCACACGCCUUGGUCGGGUUUGGCUCCCAGAACCCAGGCUCCGGCGCUUUAAUUUUCCCGCACUCCCUGUCUGUACAGCCAGACGCUCCAACCAGAGGACAAUUCUUAAAGCAAGCAUGAAGAGCAAGAAAACAGGGCAAGAGUUCUGGAGGCCUCGAUGAGAUCUUUCGCUCCACCGCUUGGGUGGCUCCAGAACCCAGCAGCCGAUGCUCUGCAGCAGGUGGGGACCCGCCUGCGCCCUCGGGACGUCCCCACAGUGUCAAUGUACUCCUACCAGUCCUCGAGGCCACCCCCGCCUGAGCGGGAGGCACAGCAGUUCAGCAAACCUACCUUCGGGGUCAGGGCGCGGGCACCGAGCUCUGAGAGUGUGCAAACUGAAUCUUGCUUUCGGGAGAGACUGAUCUGUCUCUCUGACUUUUUUUUUUUUUUUUUUUUUAAUCUCCUUCGGAGCUCAGCCCCCAAAACCACAAACUUCACUUCCUGAGCGUUAGAGGCGCUCACUAGCCUUCUCAACCCCAGCCCCAUCCCCCAGUGGGACAGCGGGCCACGAGCCUCCUUUGCGCAAGGGGUCAGGAGGUGACAGGAAGGGGGUAUCCUUGCCAACUCCUUGGGCACCCCUGAGCAGCCCCCAAUUUGUUUGUCUGUGGGAUCGCGGGGCUAUCUAUAGAGUCCCCGGGAUGUCUGAGAAAUCAGCACUAGAAAUGACUAGAAAGAAAAUCGAAGUAUUCUUGGCUCCUGGAGACUUCCGCAGCGAGAAGUCACAGAUUCAGGACACAGAUUGACAGGAGCUGCGGGCGCUGGUAGCAGGCAGCUCGCACGGCUCCCGUGGGCACCCCAAUCCUGUCGACUGUUUGGGCAGCAUCGCCCCGAUCGCGGCCGUGAAUCACCGGACCCCGGUGCCACCGGCCUGGAGUCCGGCCACUGGCCACCGCGUCCGCAGAAAGAAACCUGCGCCUCGGGCCCCGAAAUAACUUGUUGUGGAAACACUUGAGGAUAAAUACGCCCAACGAAGCUGAAAAUACCUUGACACCCAAUCCCAGAGGUUUGCUCAUUUCCCUUCGGAUUUAGGUAACGGUUAAAUUUGGAAGAGGUGGGCGAGCGUCGAGCCCAGCGAACAAGGGCCGGGCUGGUGGCGCGUCCCGCGGGCGCCGGCGGCAUCGGUGGGCGCGUCCUCCCCACCCGGCCCCCGCCUCGCGCUCGCUUCCGGUGGUCGGAGCUGGGAAAUUAAAGGCGACUUCGGAGCUGCGGCUCAGCUGAGUCUUGCUUGGUCCAGGUUGGGGUGGGGUGGGAGGCGUGGCGCCUGGGGCUGCAGCAGGGUACUAGGCCAUGUGGACUUUUGGAGUCAUUGCAAAAUGAAGGCUUCAGAAUAAUGCCCACCGUGGUCUUGCCCUCAAUGGAGGCGUGGGAUUAACACUAUUGAUGGCAGGGCGGGGAGAGGAGCUCAAACCUCACUCUUCUGCAAAUAAAAAAUCCAACCACU
Molecule: long non-coding RNA, 1510 nt
Filed under: Mus musculus (house mouse)
Lineage: Eukaryota; Metazoa; Chordata; Mammalia; Rodentia; Muridae
Description: RIKEN cDNA A430072P03 gene
Source: RNAcentral